CUUUUUGCCUUCAUUACAAUAUUAUUUUUUUCAGAAAGCGACCAUGAAGUCGAUUCAGUGUUUAGCAUGUUCAAUGAAAGCUUAGCUAUAUAAUAUUUUUCAGAGACAUUAUCCCUCUGCUAUCCUUAGGUUAUUUGACUUAAUGGCUACAUUAUAUAUUUCCUUGCUGUACUAUCCUGUAGAUAUUAUAUUGUUCAAACUCUC
Pelobates cultripes (western spadefoot toad) is the source of this 204-nucleotide non-coding RNA. Lineage: Eukaryota; Metazoa; Chordata; Amphibia; Anura; Pelobatidae. The record is from the annotation of a GenBank genome assembly.